Chelonia mydas (Green sea turtle) is the source of this 374-nucleotide long non-coding RNA. RefSeq lists it as uncharacterized. The transcript is spliced from 3 exons. The record is from RefSeq and is a predicted model, not a curated record. Lineage: Eukaryota; Metazoa; Chordata; Testudines; Cheloniidae.
UUUUUCAUCUGGAGCAAUUUCAUACUCUGCCUGGAAAAGAAAUAAAGAAACCAUCAAUAUUUGUACUCAUACUUCAUCAUUAUAACUUCAUUUUGGAGAUGGCCUUAACUGAACAUUCCACUUGAAUAAUUUGGAAGGCAAAUAUAAUCUUCUGAUGGAGUUCUCAGGAGGUGCUCAGAUACUAAGGGGACAGACAGACAGACAGAUAUGAGAGUGAAGAUCUGAAAUGGGCCUAUAAACCCUAAUAUUGAUACCAGCUUGGAGAACAGGAAAUGUAUACAGCUAAGAUGUCAGCUACUUAUUGAUCCCCCCCCGCCCUCCAGCACAGGAAAUGUGUCCUGCAAAACUUUAUUUUAAAGACCUUCUUUCAACAG